RNAcentral lists this small RNA (126 nucleotides) under Salmonella enterica subsp. enterica serovar Baguida. RNAcentral's name for it is "RtT sRNA". It matches the Rfam family "RtT RNA". Rfam says of the family: This family represents a bacterial cis-regulatory element known as RtT RNA. Lineage: Bacteria; Pseudomonadati; Pseudomonadota; Gammaproteobacteria; Enterobacterales; Enterobacteriaceae. The record is from RNAcentral.
UUGCUAUCUGCGAUAUGGAAGAUUCGAACCUGCCGCAGGUUCGGGUCGAACGCAGUGAGACAACGGAGCCGCUUGCGGCGACGGCCCAAAGGGCGAGCGAAGCGAGUCAUCCUGCACGACCCACCA